GGAGGAGUGGCCGAGUGGUCGAAGGCAGCGGUUUUGAAAACCGCCGAUCUCGCAAGGGAUCCAGGGGUUCGAAUCCCUUCUCCUCCG
RNAcentral lists this transfer RNA (87 nucleotides) under Myxococcota bacterium. RNAcentral's name for it is "tRNA-Ser". It matches the Rfam family "tRNA". Rfam says of the family: Transfer RNA (tRNA) molecules are approximately 80 nucleotides in length. Their secondary structure includes four short double-helical elements and three loops (D, anti-codon, and T loops). RNAcentral also lists the same sequence under 1 other name. Lineage: Bacteria; Pseudomonadati; Myxococcota. The record is from RNAcentral.